CUCCUUCUUCCUCACCAUCCCCAUGUUUGAACUCAACCCCACCCAUCCCUAAACCUCGUACGCUCCAGCUAGUUAUCAAAGGCGGCGUCAUGGGCAAUGGCCAGAAGCUGCCGGAGUUAAGUGUUGUCAGGAGGCCUGAGACGAGCAUAGGGCCGCUCGCGGUCCACGAUGAGCCCGAUGUAGCAACCGUGGCGCAGACAUCGCCAGAAAAAUUGCCUGAGACAACAAACAACAGUGGAAGCGAGACAGGAACCCAGAAAGAUGCAGAGAACACAGAAGGAGCUCUACGGCAAAAACAGAGAGGGACUUCCCAAGAGACAAAGAAUGAAGUAGUUGGACGACAUGAUGACAUUGCAAGAAUGCAGUUUGUCGCUGGAAACAACUUAGAAGAACAGUCUGAUGUUUUCAUUGCUGAUGCGCCAAAGGCAGAGAGUUUGAAUAGUCAAGAAAUUAUUCCAAACGAUGUCGAGCCCAAGUCUUGGACGUUGAUAGAGUGCAAAUUAACCCCACAGAUAGACUGUGUAGCCACACUACAGACAGAGAUAAAGGUGCCAGAAAGAGCUUUAACAGGCUGUGAGUUUUCUAAAGGACCAAGUGAAAAAAGUGAGAGUGUGACAGAAGGCAAAACAUACCUUGCAAGAGCACAUGUACCUCAGAGAAUAUCAUAUAGUGAGUUGAUGCCACAAUAUAUAGAUACAUUAGAAACUGUGGAUUCCAUGAAAGCUCCAACACACACUCCUGUUUCUUCCACACACUUAUCCAAAGACAGUGCUGGUGACAGCACACACACAUCAGUCAUAGACACACAAGGUAAUCCAGGUUUCACACCGGCACACCACACAGACAACACAACAGACAACAUACCCGCUGCAAAACAUAACACACAUGGCAGCUUUCAAGAACAAACUCCUAAAGCACGGGGAAGCACACACACACCUGAAGGACCCCUGCGUUUACGUCUUCCCGAAAAACUCAUGCCAGACUUACGUUCGAUGACGCCAGAGAGAGAAUCACGUUCACUCACAGCUCUCAUAUGCACUCCAACUCCAGACGGGUAUCUUCCACUUAAGCCCACCACCCCAGACUCACGAAUGCACACGCCGGAUCCGCGGUCAUACACUCCAGACUUUCAC
This 1133-nucleotide long non-coding RNA is filed under the name Sander lucioperca (pikeperch). RNAcentral's name for it is "lncRNA (ENSSLUG00000016901.1)". The record is from RNAcentral. Lineage: Eukaryota; Metazoa; Chordata; Actinopteri; Perciformes; Percidae.